RNAcentral lists this ribosomal RNA (254 nucleotides) under uncultured bacterium. RNAcentral's name for it is "partial 16S ribosomal RNA". It matches the Rfam family "Bacterial small subunit ribosomal RNA", at positions 524 to 776 of the family's 1533-position model. The record is from RNAcentral.
UACGUAGGAUGCAAGCGUUAAUCGGAAUUACUGGGCGUAAAGCGUGCGCAGGCGGUUAUGUAAGACAGGUGUGAAAUCCCCGGGCUUAACCUGGGAACUGCACUGGUGACUGGCAGGCUUUGAGUGUGGCAGAGGGAGGUAGAAUUCCACGUGUAGCAGUGAAAUGCGUAGAGAUGUGGAGGAAUACCGAUGGCGAAGGCAGCCUCCUGGGCCAACACUGACGCUCAUGCACGAAAGCGUGGGGAGCAAACAGG